GAUCAUGGCUCAGGAUGAACGCUAGCGACAGGCUUAACACAUGCAAGUCGAGGGGCAGCGGGGGGUAGCGAUACCCGCCGGCGACCGGCGCACGGGUGAGUAACGCGUAUGCAACUUGCCUAUCAGAGGGGGAUAACCCGGCGAAAGUCGGACUAAUACCGCAUGAAGCAGGGAUCCCGCAUGGGAAUAUUUGCUAAAGAUUUAUCGCUGAUAGAUAGGCAUGCGUUCCAUUAGG
Molecule: ribosomal RNA, 235 nt
Filed under: uncultured bacterium
Lineage: Bacteria
Description: partial 16S ribosomal RNA
Rfam family: Bacterial small subunit ribosomal RNA
Source: RNAcentral